CCUACGGGAGACAGCAGUGAGGAAUAUUGGUCAAUGGGCGAGAGCCUGAACCAGCCAAGUCGCGUGAGGGAGUACUGCCCUAUGGGUUGUAAACCUCUUUUGUCGGGGAGCAAAAGCUGGACGUGUUCGGCGGUGAGAGUACCCGAAGAAAAAGCAUCGGCUAACCUCGUGCCAGCCGCCGCGGUAAUACGGAGGAUGCGAGCGUUAUCCGGAUUUAUUGGGUUUAAAGGGUGCGCAGGCGGAUUGUUAAGUCAGCGGUCAAAUCGUGGGGCUCAACCCCAUCCAGCCGUUGAAACUGGGGAUCUAGAGUGGGCGAGAGGUAUGCGGAAUGCGUGGUGUAGCGGUGAAAUGCAUAGAUAUCGCGCAGAACCCCGAUUGCGAAGGCAGCAUACCGGUGCACAACUGACGCUCAGGCACGAAAGCGUGGGUAUCGAACAGGAUUAGAUACCCCAGUAGUC
RNAcentral lists this ribosomal RNA (458 nucleotides) under uncultured bacterium. Its description in RNAcentral is "partial 16S ribosomal RNA". It matches the Rfam family "Bacterial small subunit ribosomal RNA", at positions 338 to 795 of the family's 1533-position model. The record is from RNAcentral.